Molecule: ribosomal RNA, 465 nt
Filed under: Vreelandella stevensii
Lineage: Bacteria; Pseudomonadati; Pseudomonadota; Gammaproteobacteria; Oceanospirillales; Halomonadaceae
Description: partial 16S ribosomal RNA
Rfam family: Bacterial small subunit ribosomal RNA
Source: RNAcentral
ACUACAGGUGGCAGCAGUGGGGAAUAUUGGACAAUGGGCGAAAGCCUGAUCCAGCCAUGCCGCGUGUGUGAAGAAGGCCUUCGGGUUGUAAAGCACUUUCAGUGGGGAAGAAAGCCUUGGGGCUAAUACCCUCGAGGAAGGACAUCACCCACAGAAGAAGCACCGGCUAACUCCGUGCCAGCAGCCGCGGUAAUACGGAGGGUGCGAGCGUUAAUCGGAAUUACUGGGCGUAAAGCGCGCGUAGGCGGUCUGAUAAGCCGGUUGUGAAAGCCCCGGGCUCAACCUGGGAACGGCAUCCGGAACGGUCAGGCUAGAGUGCAGGAGAGGAAGGUAGAAUUCCCGGUGUAGCGGUGAAAUGCGUAGAGAUCGGGAGGAAUACCAGUGGCGAAGGCGGCCUUCUGGACUGACACUGACGCUGAGGUGCGAAAGCGUGGGUAGCAAACAGGAUUAGAUACCCUAGUAGUC